Molecule: small nucleolar RNA, 178 nt
Organism: Erinaceus europaeus (western European hedgehog)
Lineage: Eukaryota; Metazoa; Chordata; Mammalia; Eulipotyphla; Erinaceidae
Source: Ensembl
UUAUGACUUAAUGCACAGUUUCCAUCUGUCUGAUAGCAGUGCCUGUAUUUUGCAUUCAGAUCUUGCUGUCCACACAAACAGUAGGCAGCCAGAGAGUAAGUUGGAAUCAUAGUUUUGGCCUGGUGUUGUCACUUUAGACACUUUUAGUACUGGUCAGUGUCCAGAUUCCCACGCACAG